AACGCACAUUGCGCCCGCCAGUAUUCUGGCGGGCAUGCCUGUUCGAGCGUCAUUACAACCCUCAAGUCCCCUGUGGACUUGGUGUUGGGGACCGGCGACACGCAGCUGUGUUUUUCUCACAGUUGGUUCGCCGCCCCCUAAAUGACUUGGCGGCCCCGUCUUAGGCUACCCCUCUGCGUAGUAGAACACACCUCGCAACAGGAAGCCCGGCGAAUGGCCACUGCCGUAAAACCCCCCAACUUCUUUCAGAGUUGACCUCGAAUCAGGUAGGAAUACCCGCUGAACUUAA
This 289-nucleotide unclassified non-coding RNA is filed under the name uncultured fungus. Its description in RNAcentral is "partial contains 5.8S ribosomal RNA, internal transcribed spacer 2, and large subunit ribosomal RNA". The stretch from base 1 to 52 matches the Rfam family "5.8S ribosomal RNA", at positions 103 to 154 of the family's 154-position model. Lineage: Eukaryota; Fungi. The record is from RNAcentral.